This 460-nucleotide ribosomal RNA is filed under the name uncultured bacterium. RNAcentral's name for it is "partial 16S ribosomal RNA". It matches the Rfam family "Bacterial small subunit ribosomal RNA", at positions 338 to 795 of the family's 1533-position model. The record is from RNAcentral.
CCUACGGGAGGCAGCAGUGAGGAAUAUUGGUCAAUGGGCGUAAGCCUGAUCCAGCCACGUCGCGUGAGGGAUGAAGGUUCUAUGGAUCGUAAACCUCUUUUGUAAGGGAAUAAAGUGCGGGACGUGUCCCGUUUUGUCUGUACCUUAUGAAUCAGGCUCGGCUAACUCCGUGCCAGCAGCCGCGGUAAUCCGGAGGGUCCGAGCGUUAUCCGGAUUUAUUGGGUUUAAAGGGUGCGUCGGCGGCCGUGUAAGUCAGGGGGGAAAGUCUGUGGCUCAACCAUAGAAUUGCCGUUGAAACUGGGAGGCUGGAGUGUGUUUGAGGCAGGCGGAAGGCGUGGUGUAGCGGUGAAAUGCGGAGAUAUCAGGAAGAACCCCGAUUGCGAAGGCAGCCUGCCAAGCCAUGACUGACGUUGAUGCACGAAAGCGUGGGGAUCAAACAGGAUUAGAUACCCUGGUAGUC